CAGUCGAGGGGCAGCAUGGUCUUAGCUUGCUAAGGCCGAUGGCGACCGGCGCACGGGUGAGUAACACGUAUCCAACCUGCCGUCUACUCUUGGACAGCCUUCUGAAAGGAAGAUUAAUACAAGAUGGCAUCAUGAGUCCGCAUGUUCACAUGAUUAAAGGUAUUCCGGUAGACGAUGGGGAUGCGUUCCAUUAGAUAGUAGGCGGGGUAACGGCCCACCUAGUCUUCGAUGGAUAGGGGUUCUGAGAGGAAGGUCCCCCACAUUGGAACUGAGACACGGUCCAAACUCCUACGGGAGGCAGCAGUGAGGAAUAUUGGUCAAUGGGCGAGAGCCUGAACCAGCCAAGUAGCGUGAAGGAUGACUGCCCUAUGGGUUGUAAACUUCUUUUAUAAAGGAAUAAAGUCGGGUAUGGAUACCCGUUUGCAUGUACUUUAUGAAUAAGGAUCGGCUAACUCCGUGCCAGCAGCCGCGGUAAUACGGAGGAUCCGAGCGUUAUCCGGAUUUAUUGGGUUUAAAGGGAGCGUAGAUGGAUGUUUAAGUCAGUUGUGAAAGUUUGCGGCUCAACCGUAAAAUUGCAGUUGAUACUGGAUAUCUUGAGUGCAGUUGAGGCAGGCGGAAUUCGUGGUGUAGCGGUGAAAUGCUUAGAUAUCACGAGGAACUCCGAUUGCGAAGGCAGCCUGCUAAGCUGCAACUGACAUUGAGGCUCGAAAGUGUGGGUAUCAAACAGGAUUAGAUACCCUGGUAGUCCACACGGUAAACGAUGAAUACUCGCUGUUUGCGAUAUACAGCAAGCGGCCCAGCGAAAGCGUUAAGUAUUCCACCUGGGGAGUACGCCGGCAACGGUGAAACUC
RNAcentral lists this ribosomal RNA (851 nucleotides) under uncultured bacterium. RNAcentral's name for it is "bacterial SSU rRNA". It matches the Rfam family "Bacterial small subunit ribosomal RNA", at positions 59 to 902 of the family's 1533-position model. The record is from RNAcentral.